GAGGGUAUAGCUCAAAUGGUAGAGCGCAUGCUUAGCAUGCAUGAAGUCCUGGGUUCAAUCUCCAGUACCUCCU
This 73-nucleotide transfer RNA is filed under the name Camelus bactrianus (Bactrian camel). It matches the Rfam family "tRNA". Rfam says of the family: Transfer RNA (tRNA) molecules are approximately 80 nucleotides in length. Their secondary structure includes four short double-helical elements and three loops (D, anti-codon, and T loops). Lineage: Eukaryota; Metazoa; Chordata; Mammalia; Artiodactyla; Camelidae. The record is from Rfam by way of RNAcentral. RNAcentral also lists the same sequence under 1 other name.